CUAUUUGUUGCCUCGGCGGUGCCUGUUCCGACAGCCCGCCAGAGGACCCCAAACCCUGAUUACAUUUAAGAAGUCUUCUGAGUAAACCGAUUAAAUAAAUCAAAACUUUCAACAACGGAUCUCUUGGUUCUGGCAUCGAUGAAGAACGCAGCGAAAUGCGAUAAGUAAUGUGAAUUGCAGAAUUCAGUGAAUCAUCGAAUCUUUGAACGCACAUUGCGCCCGCUAGUAUUCUGGCGGGCAUGCCUGUCCGAGCGUCAUUUCAACCCUCAAGCCCCCGGGCUUGGUGUUGGGGAUCGGCGAGCCUCCGCGCCCGCCGUCCCCUAAAUCUAGUGGCGGUCUCGCUGUAGCUUCCUCUGCGUAGUAGCACACCUCGCACUGGGAAACAGCGCGGCCACGCCGUUAAACCCCCAACUUCUGAACGUUUGACCUCGGGUCAGGUAGGAAUACCCGCUGAACUUAAGCAUAUCAA
This 469-nucleotide ribosomal RNA is filed under the name Ilyonectria sp. RNAcentral describes it as "eukaryotic LSU rRNA". The stretch from base 104 to 257 matches the Rfam family "5.8S ribosomal RNA". The record is from RNAcentral. Lineage: Eukaryota; Fungi; Ascomycota; Sordariomycetes; Hypocreales; Nectriaceae.